Molecule: long non-coding RNA, 1610 nt
Organism: Papaver somniferum (opium poppy)
Lineage: Eukaryota; Viridiplantae; Streptophyta; Magnoliopsida; Ranunculales; Papaveraceae
Exons: 7
Source: RefSeq, a predicted model, not a curated record
UUUAUCUUUCUUUUCUCCUCCUGCGCCUCUUUUCUUCCCUCUCAAAUGCAGACUAAUCAUCUGAUCUUUGGAGAACUGAUUUUCAAUCAUCUGCUCAUCGAGUUUAAGGUUUCGAUCUGUGUGUUGUUGAAUGAUGUAUUUGGUUUUUUCAGGAGAAAUGGAAGUUUGUUGCUGAGGAGUAUUCUUUGCUAGAGAGCUUGCUAAAGAUGGUUACUCUGGUGUUGAAGUUAGGGUUACUCCUAUCAUCCUGUGAGAAAUGAAAUCAGCAUUAGAUGUAACUCAAGGUUCUGAUUUAGUUUUGUGAUAUAUUUGAAUCUGAAAGUAGAGUUUUGAAUCAUACCUUGUAACUGAAUAUGGGUUUUGUUUUUUGUUUUGAUUGGAGGAGUAAGUAGGUGAUUGAAGAUUACAUUGAUUGAAAAUGGUGGAGAAGCAUUAAUCUUCUGUCAACAUUCUGUUGGUUUCAAUGUAAUUUAGCUAAUGUCAUCUACAGUUUAUUCGUCGAAUGUGAAUCAUAUGGGCUGUGUUAAAUUAAAGAUAUACUAAUUGUGGUUCAACAAUGGGAAUCUUUUGUUCAACAAUGGGUUGAUUGUCUUCGUCAUGAACCCAUUGCUAAUCUUCUUCAAAUCCCAUCUGGAGUCGGUCAGCUUAGGGAAAUUGUUCCUUUCUAGUUGGGUUUUUCUCAUAAUGGUUAAAUUUAGUUCCUUACGUUUCUAUCUGUAGUGGCAUGAUUUAUUGAUAUGUUGUAUCAUUACUAGGACUAUUGGCCUUGUUCGUUAAAGGAAUUUGUCUAGACAUUCAGAUCUCUUGUUUUUCCUAGAGAACCAACAGAUUUACAAAGGGUGUUACAUGACUUGGAUGUUAUUGCAGUUAAUAAUAUUCUUGGCCAAGGCAUGAAUUUGAAGAAAAAACAUGAAUAAAAAAUGGUGAUAUAGGGGACCUUCUUGAAUUCAAUUGCAAGAAGUGCUAGAGCUAAUACAGUAAUUGACGUUGGUUCUAGCCAGAUAUUUGUUGGUGAUUUGGACUCUAAUGUCACUGACGAAAACUCGAGACAAGUUUUUAGCCAAUUUGGAGAGUUAUCUCAUGUGAAGAUACUUGUCGUAAAACGCCGUGGGUUUGUUCAGUUCGAUAAUAAGUAAACAUAUUUAGUCUUACCUAGUUCAUCUGCAACCUCUGACUGGAAGCUUCGUGGUCCUUCUAAUUUCGUUGUUUCAAUUGCAUAUGCUGGCUUCGGGACUUGUGCAGAGGAGGCUUUGCCUUCUAAUUUCGUUGUUUCAAUUGCAUAUGCUGGCUUCGGGACUUGUGCAGAGGAGGCUUUGCUGAUGUUAAAAUUUCCAACUUUCAUGGGGACGCAGUCCUUCAAAGAAACAGACAUUCAACACUGAGCCAAUUCUCCCUCCCUAUACCGCUAGUCCAGAUCAUGUUGAACGAGCAUUAAAGAUUAAAUACUCUGGUCUAUGACAAAAAUCAAGGGUAAGGAACUUGACUUUUUUUUUUUUGAAAGUGGAAGGUUAUAUUAAAAGAAAAAGAGUAUGUACAGAUUAUAUACAAUGGUCAAAAGACCAACAAACUGAAAUCAAAACAGCUAACUAUACAUUCAUAAUUUCCUCCCA